Long non-coding RNA from Sebastes umbrosus (honeycomb rockfish), 774 nucleotides. RefSeq lists it as uncharacterized. Lineage: Eukaryota; Metazoa; Chordata; Actinopteri; Perciformes; Sebastidae. The record is from RefSeq and is a predicted model, not a curated record. The transcript is spliced from 5 exons.
GUAAGACGAUCUUUGACAGAGCUUCCCUUCCCACAAUGCACAGCGGCAUACUGCACUAUAUAACCAAUGCGUGUCUUCCGCUCUGCCUCUCAGUCUGCUGGAACCAUGGAGACCAGAGAGGUGUGGAGGUACUGCUCAGCUAAGAGAUGCUGGGUCUCCUGAUGAACACGUGCCAUAUCAGAGUGGCAGCUAUGGGAUAGAGCUACCAAGAGUCCUUCCUUGCCUCUGGUGCUAAAGGUAAAAAAUGGUGGAGCCUCUGAUGGGCUGCUCAGUGUGGGACUGACAAGUCAUGCUGCAGGCUGACUGAGGGAGCAUGUGGAGCAGCUGGCCUGCGGGGGGGUAGAAAACGCCUGCAAGGAACCGAGCCAGACCUAGGCUGAUGUGGAGGAGUUCCUGUCUCAGUCCACCUGCUGGGAUGUCACUGGGCCAACCCCAUGGUCCAGCCAUGUCUGCUCGACAUGUUUGAGGCAACUUGUCAAACUCAUUUUGUUGGAUAAUGCCCUGAAGGCAUCACCUACAUUUAACAUCUACAGGAAAUAAUUUAUCUAGAAUAUAAAAUCUGAGCUUUGAAUUGAGUCUUGUAUCAUGUACAUAUGUUUGAAUAACAUUUGAUUUUGCAUCCCCACAACAUUCUUGACAUUUUUACGAUGUUUCCCUGCUGUUUGCUGACCAGCAGGUGAUGAUGAUUUGAGUAGAUUACUUCCUCUACAAGAGGCACACUUUCCUGUAGAUAAGAUGUUUGAUUUUAUAAUAAAGUAUUCAUUUGCAGCAUAA